GCAGUUGCAUACAACAUUACCUGCCAUAUAUAUAUUUGCAAUUCACCGCGAAUAAAAAUGCUUCCAAGUGAGUCAGCCAUUCUGAUCAUACCCAGAAGGAGGAAAUUUUGAUGCAAUUUAUCUCAGCAACAUCUGGUUUCAACCGACCUUUACUGAUAGCUUUGCCUUCGUGUAAACAAGAGAAAAUCAACCCCGAAAAACCUCCAAUGACAAUCACCCCGAAUAACAUCAAGCAGUAAAAGAAGCUCGCUACAGAUACUGGGUGUCUUGUCUCGUAGACAAAAGGACAGCAAUACUUCAAACGCUUAAAGCAGACCAACAUCAACUGAAAGAGUCUAAGAG
Molecule: unclassified non-coding RNA, 342 nt
Filed under: Hevea brasiliensis (rubber tree)
Lineage: Eukaryota; Viridiplantae; Streptophyta; Magnoliopsida; Malpighiales; Euphorbiaceae
Source: RNAcentral